UCGAGCGGUAGAGAGAAGCUUGCUUCUCUUGAGAGCGGCGGACGGGUGAGUAAUGCCUAGGAAUCUGCCUGGUAGUGGGGGAUAACGUUCGGAAACGGACGCUAAUACCGCAUACGUCCUACGGGAGAAAGCAGGGGACCUUCGGGCCUUGCGCUAUCAGAUGAGCCUAGGUCGGAUUAGCUAGUUGGUGGGGUAAUGGCUCACCAAGGCGACGAUCCGUAACUGGUCUGAGAGGAUGAUCAGUCACACUGGAACUGAGACACGGUCCAGACUCCUACGGGAGGCAGCAGUGGGGAAUAUUGGACAAUGGGCGAAAGCCUGAUCCAGCCAUGCCGCGUGUGUGAAGAAGGUCUUCGGAUUGUAAAGCACUUUAAGUUGGGAGGAAGGGCAGUCAGUUAAUACCUUGCUGUUUUGACGUUACCGACAGAAUAAGCACCGGCUAACUCUGUG
This 450-nucleotide ribosomal RNA is filed under the name uncultured bacterium. Its description in RNAcentral is "bacterial SSU rRNA". It matches the Rfam family "Bacterial small subunit ribosomal RNA", at positions 62 to 507 of the family's 1533-position model. The record is from RNAcentral.